AAUGAGCACUGUCACACAUUUGCUUAGAACAAAUGAAGCCUAUUAUGUAUUAUAUAAAAUAUGUCAUAUCUAGUGUGCUACAUGAGGAGCAAACUUUUUGUGAACACUCCAUUUUGGCCCAGUGAAUGGAGCUUAAUAGUAAUCCUUGCUACAAGU
Molecule: small nucleolar RNA, 156 nt
Organism: Castor canadensis (American beaver)
Lineage: Eukaryota; Metazoa; Chordata; Mammalia; Rodentia; Castoridae
Source: Ensembl